RNAcentral lists this long non-coding RNA (652 nucleotides) under Chloebia gouldiae (Gouldian finch). RNAcentral's name for it is "Erythrura gouldiae (Gouldian finch) lncRNA (ENSEGOG00005017709.1)". Lineage: Eukaryota; Metazoa; Chordata; Aves; Passeriformes; Passeridae. The record is from RNAcentral.
CGUGAGGGAGCGCGGGGCAGCGCAAUCCCCCGCCCCCCCCCCACGCGCACCGCCCCGGCACCGCGCGCAUGCGCGCUGAGCUGCUGCGGGCACCUGCGCAAUAGUGAUCCUUCGGUCGCGCUCGGCGGAGAGCGGCCCGGGAGGACAUGCUGCCAAAUAGUGAUCCCUAGCUGCCGGUGGUCUCCUGAGGGGGCUGCGGGGUCCGGGCGCCGUCCCCACACACCGCACCUGCCCGGGCAGCGCUCCCCGCCUCCCUCCGGCCUCCCAGCAGCGCCGCACCGCCGGCGGGGCCGCUCCUCGGGCCGCGAGGUGCAGCUGAUCUCCGUUUCCUGCUGCCUGUGCCCUGCCCGAUUCCAAGCUGGCGAUGUCCAGGGUGCCGAGUCCCCCCCCUCCGGCAGAGAUGUCCAGCGGGCCCGUGGCCGAGAGCUGGUGCUACACACAGAUCAAGGUGGUGAAGUUCUCCUACAUGUGGACCAUCAACAACUUCAGCUUCUGCCGGGAGGAGAUGGGGGAGGUCAUCAAGAGCUCGACCUUUUCCUCUGGAGCCAACGACAAACUCAAGUGGUGAGGCCCAGGGAGAGGGGCUCACCCCAGCUGGGCUGUGGGGCUGGGCCAGGGAAUCCAUGCAAACACGGUUAUCCUGCACGUGGGA